CCUCUCCUCCCUCAACUUCCCCCUGUUGGGAUGACCUUGGUUCCCACAAGAAAACCUUUUGUUUUGACUAUUAGCAAACAUAUCUAUCUUCCCCCUCCCUUCCCCCUCUCAGAGUUUAGCAAAAGUAAUAGCAAUAGCACUUAGACUUAUACACCAC
Non-coding RNA from Notechis scutatus (mainland tiger snake), 157 nucleotides. The record is from RefSeq and is a predicted model, not a curated record. NCBI's taxonomy places the organism in Eukaryota, Metazoa, Chordata, Lepidosauria, Squamata, Elapidae.